AGCAGUGGACAUACCGCCUUGUGAAUGCCUCGUCUCAUCUGUUUUCAGAAACUAAGCAAUGUUGGGCCUUUUUAGUACUGGAAUGGGAGACUGCUGGGAAUACCAAGUUCUGUAGUGG
RNAcentral lists this ribosomal RNA (118 nucleotides) under Periophthalmus magnuspinnatus. The record is from RNAcentral. Lineage: Eukaryota; Metazoa; Chordata; Actinopteri; Gobiiformes; Gobiidae.